CCUACGGGAGACAGCAGUGGGGGAUAUUGCACAAUGGGGGGAACCCUGAUGCAGCGACGCCGCGUGGGUGAAGAAGCGCCUCGGCGCGUAAAGCCCUGUCAGCAGGGAAGAAAAUGACGGUACCUGAAGAAGAAGCCCCGGCUAACUCCGUGCCAGCAGCCGCGGUAAUACGUAGGGGGCAAGCGUUAUCCGGAUUUACUGGGUGUAAAGGGGGCGCAGACGGCGAUGCAAGCCAGGAGUGCAAGACCGGGGCGCAACCCCGGGACUGCUCUUGGAACUGCGUGGCUGGAGUGCAGGAGGGGCAGGCGGAAUUGCUGGUGUAGCGGUGAAAUGCGUAGAUAUCAGGAGGAACACCGGUGGCGAAGGCGGCCUGCUGGACUGCAACUGACGUUGAGGCCCGAAAGCGUGGGGAGCAAACAGGAUUAGAUACCCGUGUAGUC
This 440-nucleotide ribosomal RNA is filed under the name uncultured bacterium. RNAcentral's name for it is "partial 16S ribosomal RNA". It matches the Rfam family "Bacterial small subunit ribosomal RNA", at positions 338 to 795 of the family's 1533-position model. The record is from RNAcentral.